GAUGAAGAACGUAGCAAAAUGCGAUAAGUAAUGUGAAUUGCAGAAUUCAGUGAAUCAUCGAAUCUUUGAACGCACAUUGCGCCCGCCAGCAUCCUGGCGGGCAUGCCUGUCCGAGCGUCAUUUCAACCCUCAAGCCCCGCUUGGUGUUGGGCCCCGCCCGCCGUGGCCGGCCCUAAAGACAGUGGCGGCGCCGCCUGGCCCUCAGCGUAGUACAGCUCUCGCUCCAGGGUCCGGCGGCCGCCUGCCAGAACCCCCCCAACUCUGUGGUUGACCUCGGAUCAGGUAGGGAUACCCGCUGAACUUAAGCAUAUCAAUAAGCGGAGGA
This 325-nucleotide unclassified non-coding RNA is filed under the name soil metagenome. Its description in RNAcentral is "partial contains 5.8S ribosomal RNA, internal transcribed spacer 2, and large subunit ribosomal RNA". The stretch from base 1 to 120 matches the Rfam family "5.8S ribosomal RNA", at positions 35 to 154 of the family's 154-position model. The record is from RNAcentral.